This 66-nucleotide transfer RNA is filed under the name Upogebia yokoyai. Its description in RNAcentral is "tRNA-Asp". Lineage: Eukaryota; Metazoa; Arthropoda; Malacostraca; Decapoda; Upogebiidae. The record is from RNAcentral.
AAGAACUUAAUUAAAUUAAUAAUAUAGAAUUGUCAUUUCUAAUUUAUCCUUAUUGGAUAGUUCUUA